This 1090-nucleotide long non-coding RNA is filed under the name Saimiri boliviensis boliviensis (Bolivian squirrel monkey). Its description in RNAcentral is "lncRNA (ENSSBOG00000036705.1)". The record is from RNAcentral. Lineage: Eukaryota; Metazoa; Chordata; Mammalia; Primates; Cebidae.
CAAAGAGCUGCUGUUCUGCGGCCGGCAUCGCCUCCCCUCCCUCCUGGGCCGCUGCCCCAGCUCAGCCUCAGUCUCAACUAAGCUACACUACUCCAAGGGUGAGAUUCAGAGCACGUUUGCCUUGGGCGUGGAGGAGCGUCGUUUUCACAUCAGCAUCCGGUUGGUAGCUGCUACGGCCAGUCUCGCUAACUUCAUGAAGCUGGAACAGACUUUCCUACAGGUGCAGCUCACCUGGAACGGAGGACAGCCUGUGACCCUGCAGCUCACCUGGGCCAACAGGUUCUCAGCACACAGCACCCCCUGGGACGGCUGCCUGGCCACCUCCCCGGGGCAGGAAACCUGGGGCCUGAACACCCUCUGGGCGUGCGGGGCCGUAACACAGACCCCAGACGUGUUCACUGAAUGGCUCGACCUGUCCUGGGGCCAGCAGCGCAUGAGGCAGAACUUGACAUACAAGAGGCAUCGGCCAUCUCAGCCAGACAAGAUCACCGUGGGGGCCAUGCUGGAGCACGUCCUCGGGGCUUCUUGUGCCCGGCAGAGCUUCUGGGGAGAAGUACAGACUGACUACGCACACUGGCUGCGGCACUCCCUCCGCCCGGGGCUCCGUGACCUGCCCAGGGUACAACCGGCAGGCACCCUGGAUGGUGUGGCAGGCCGCCUCCUGCGACUGUCCCAGGCAGGGCUGGAGGCCGUGCAGGUGGCCCACUGCAUGCUGUCCUGGACUGAGGCCAUGUUCCCAUGGGCACUGAAGAGGCUCUGCAGACUCCUGCUGGACUUGUACGGCUUCACAGCCAGGUAACGCAGGGUUGGGAGUGGCGCGGCCGGCGUUCCUGCCACGUAUCAGGCGCAGUGCUGAAUGCUUCCACACGCUCUGACCCACUGACUCCUCUGACCGCGCUGCACAGAGGCUUCUUCACUCCCCAUUUCACAGAAGAGGAAGCUGAGGUUUCUCCCUCAUUCCACAGAGACCUCGUGAGCACAGCCCCAGUGCAGGCAGGAUUUUAGGAGCUGCUGCAGAGGAGCGCAGUGGGCGAGGCUGACCCCUGCCUUCAGGAAGCUCAGUUUUACUUAGACGUGAAGCACAAGAAAA